Molecule: non-coding RNA, 224 nt
Organism: Pelobates cultripes (western spadefoot toad)
Lineage: Eukaryota; Metazoa; Chordata; Amphibia; Anura; Pelobatidae
Source: the annotation of a GenBank genome assembly
GUCAUUCUGAAGGCAUGCAAAUCAUCAUGGGAGUUGUAGUUCCACAACAUGUAGGGAUCUACCUUUUGGGCACCCCUGGAAUAGACUAAUCCUGCUUUUCUACAGGACACUUGGAAUAAAAUACAGAAUAAGUAGACAUGCUAUAAUGCAAUAGGGUGCCAUGCAAUAUAAGUAUUCUAAAGCACUCCUGGAAUGUAAAGAAUAGCUUGAGAAAAUGACAUAGC